Meriones unguiculatus (Mongolian gerbil) is the source of this 2202-nucleotide long non-coding RNA. RefSeq lists it as uncharacterized. The record is from RefSeq and is a predicted model, not a curated record. The transcript is spliced from 4 exons. NCBI's taxonomy places the organism in Eukaryota, Metazoa, Chordata, Mammalia, Rodentia, Muridae.
UGGUGGACAAUCAAAGCUGGAGCCAGAGAGAUUACCUCAGGAACUGGGCAAUGCGCGCCAUGACGGCUCCGGCCCCGGGCUGAAGCACAUUGCCUGUGGACAGAAGAGCCCUUUCUCAGCACCUGGUGGGGCCUAAGAGCGUUUUGCAAUCAACACUGCAAGGCAAGACCUCCUAAGUCUUCUGGGUUUCUGGACACAAGCCAGGAUAACCGUCCUCCGAACACCGCCAUUGCACUCUCAGAUGAAAGGCAAGCGGUUCUGGAGCCAAGGCAACAGCUUUACCCUAUGGAGACGAAGACGGAGGAGGUCUCGACUCUAAAUUGGCUCUCUUCUCUCCUGGGUCCGCUGGAAACUUAAGCACCUUUGGAUUCCUGGCCCUGUUCUUGGGCAGCUUGCUGAUCGGAAGAAGCCAUUUUAUCAAGGCACUGACCAUGGUCUCAGAAAGUGUCCCAUGGGUCUCAACACCUCUUUGCAGCUGCUUGAGAUGCUCUUAUUAGUGAUGAACAGCCCUGCACCCCCGUUCCCCAACCCCCUUAGCAAGGCCUUAAAGGAAGCCGCAGGAUGACUGGCAAGUUAGCUCAUCAAUGACUUCCUGCUGAGUGAAUGAAUCGGGUUCCCUGGAUCUAGAAUGUAUUACCACCCUUAAAGAGUGAGACCAGGUUCCCCAACCAAGGCAACAGGUCAGCCCCAAACCAGACCCCAGGAGAGCCCAAAACACAAAAGGAGAGGAGGCUGGGAGAGGGCUCAGAGGGUAAAAGUGCUAGCCCCACAAGCAUGAGGUCAGAGGUCAGGUCCCCACUGUGCACAUCAACCCUGGCCCUGUGACCUUAGUGCAGGUAUGGAAGGCAGAGGCUCCUGGGGCAAGGCGGCUGCCUAGACCAGUCACAUCCUUGUGUUCCAGGUUCAGAAAGAGACCCUGCCUCAAAACAACAAAGCGGAGAGGGGUCCAGGAUGACACCCAACAUCAGCCUCUGGCCUCCACCUGUGCCCACAUACACUUGAGCAUAUAUACUCACAGCAACACACACAUACAUGAGCGAGCACAAGAGGCCUUCCCGCCCCCACCUCCAAGCGCACGCACUGGCUGCCCAUUUUCCUAAGAGCAGGGCUGCACGCUCUUUAGACACCCCAGAGGGCAGGCAGCAUCGUGCCUCCUCACUGGUGUCCUCCCCACCAUCUUCCAGGGAGGGACUUUGUGAAGCCUGUGACCCCAUCAGCUCCCUGGAUGCAUGUACACACCACAGCCCACGAGUGCACACUGCUAGGCCUAGGAUAGACGUGAGUACAGGCCUGAGAAGAAGUGAGAUCUCGUGUUUCAUUGUUUUUGUUCGUUGUUUCUUGUAACUGGAUCACACGGAUGCUGAACGCGAAUGUUGUAAAUGACAAUGCCUUGCCCCAAUGUCAAAACACUGAGUUCUUCCGCAGUGAGCAAAGCCGGAGAGGUUCAGAGGGACAGGCUCGUCCCUCCACAGCCAGGGUGGAGGGACCACAAAGAACCACGUCACUGGUCCCAGAGACCUCAAAUGGAAGUGUGGGAGCCCAGGGCUUUGUACAUGCUAGGUACCCGUGUGUCUCUGUGAGGUGAGGCUUUUCCAUCUGUCCUCACCGCCAGUCUCUGGGGCACUCCAGCCUUUCUCAGUAUAUCGGGCGCUCAGCAGCUGUUUGAUGAAGUCGGGGACACAGCAGAAGGUGACAGCAAAUGUAUAAGGCAAUUAGGGGGACCUGUCAGGCGUUCACCAGGAUUCAUCUGCCUAGAAGAUUGCUGCAGAGCAUGGUCUGAGCACUCAGGAGAGGACCUCAGUGUGCUGCUCUAUAAAAGGGAUCAAGUAACUCAGAUGUAUGGGUAUUUGAGAGGAUUUCCGGAGGUCACAGCCAUAGCGGACAACAUGGAAGUUUUCAUGUGAUGACGCUGCCAGAGGCCUCUCAAAGCAGAAAGCGUUCAGUUAAUGUGGCAAGCCGUGGCUAUUAAGUUGCCGCACCUAGAACAUGGCACCCACCGGAUGUACUGACUGCUGAUAAACAAGUCCAUGUUUGGUCAAGGCGAGUGUUGCACUGGCCCAUUGGCUGCCUGCUGCAGGUCUGAUGAGUGAGCGUGGUUGGCUGUGAUUGGCUGAUGUGGUUGCCUAUAUAAUUGGGAAGGGCCCGGGGUACGGUGGGGGAAGAAGAAGCUUGCAAAUGCCUGAAUAAACUGCUUGAGGAAGA